This 222-nucleotide ribosomal RNA is filed under the name uncultured bacterium. Its description in RNAcentral is "partial 16S ribosomal RNA". It matches the Rfam family "Bacterial small subunit ribosomal RNA", at positions 980 to 1204 of the family's 1533-position model. The record is from RNAcentral.
UACCCUUGACAUGCCACUAACGAAGCAGAGAUGCAUUAGGUGCUCGAAAGAGAAAGUGGACACAGGUGCUGCAUGGCUGUCGUCAGCUCGUGUCGUGAGAUGUUGGGUUAAGUCCCGCAACGAGCGCAACCCUUGUCUCUAGUUGCUACGAAGGGCACUCUAGAGAGACUGCCGGUGACAAACCGGAGGAAGGUGGGAUGACUCAAGUCCUCAUGGCCCUUA